AGCUCCAAUAGCGUAUAUUAAAGUUGUUGCAGUUAAAAAGCUCGUAGUUGCAUUUGUGAAGAUUCUUAAGGCCCAAUUUUGGUGCUAUUAGAACUUCUAUCUUUAGGCGCAAUCUGUGUGGCAUUAGGUUGUUGUGCAGAGGAUACCUUUCUUUUACUGUGAAAAAAUUAGAGUGUUCAAAGCAGGCUUAUGCCGAUGAAUAGAUUAGCAUGGAAUAAUAAAAUAGGACCUUGGUACUAUUUUGUUGGUUUAUGCACCAAGGUAAUGAUUAAUAGGGACAGUUGGGGGUAUUCGUAUUCCAUUGUCAGAGGUGAAAUUCUUGGAUUUCUGGAAGACGGACCAAUGCGAAAGCAUUUACCAAGGAUGUUUUCA
This 372-nucleotide ribosomal RNA is filed under the name uncultured eukaryote. RNAcentral describes it as "SSU rRNA". It matches the Rfam family "Eukaryotic small subunit ribosomal RNA", at positions 587 to 972 of the family's 1831-position model. The record is from RNAcentral.